RNAcentral lists this long non-coding RNA (598 nucleotides) under Gallus gallus (chicken). RNAcentral describes it as "lncRNA (ENSGALG00010011320.1)". The record is from RNAcentral. Lineage: Eukaryota; Metazoa; Chordata; Aves; Galliformes; Phasianidae.
CUGAGUCUCUUCCCUCAGUAAGGCUUGACAGACACAGUGUUGUCCUAUUAGUUGCGCCAUGUAUCAAAUAUAGAGGAAGCCAUUAUCUAGAAAAGUUUAGGGUAGGUGAAGUUUGUGGCUGGACCUUUAAAACAAAAUUCUCUAAGUCUGUAAAUAAUCUCAGCUAAUGAGAGUUAAGAUGAAACCUAUCCGUGAUCUUCAGGUGCUGUUUUUUCCCCCAAGGUUAACAAGCACUCCAAGUGGGAUUAUGCAUCCUGGCUGUUCUCCUAGCGCUGGAUGAAAGCUGGAUCCUACAUGAGGAGCAACAAAGGGGCUGCAGAGCAGUGAUCUGUUACUCUUCUCUCACAUGUAGAUGAGUAAAAGGCUGAAGAGAACCGAAGCAGUGGAAAAUGCCACACUUUUAUUGAAGUUCAGUGACACAAAAGCUGACGAGAUGCUGAGUGAUUCAUCAGACAGCGCAGUCAGUUGGAUGCGAAGGAAUGCUGGAGAAAGUAUCAGUUACAAUAAUAAGUAGAUUAAUAAUUACAAAAAGCUUUGGUGCUCCCCCAGAGCUAGCCUGAUCCUACACAGUGAAUGACUUAAAUAAAACAAGUGGGAG